UCUUAGUGAGGUUAAGUAUCCAGCAUGACUACAGCUGCAAAGCAGUGGAGCCUGGCUUUGAACUUAGUCCUGUCUGAUCCCAACGCCUUACACAAUUCUACCAUCCCUGUUGUUAAUAUGUGACCUAUUUCAAGUCAUCACCUGCUUCAGAAUUUCACUCUUGAGCCAAAGAAAACAAAAACUGCAAUUAGAGAUUUCUCUAACCUUGUUAAAGGAGACUAUGCACAGCAAUCCAUAAACUCAGUAGGUGCAAUUUCAUAGGUCUGAAGGAGGUGUAGGAUGCAUGACACCCAAAGUAAGAUACACAGUGGUGUCAUCGUGGUGGCUCAACCCAGCAAAGAGCCAAGAGUGUUCCAGUGUUCAAAGGAGAAGACAGGUCAGCCGCCUGAAGUACAGAGCAGGGUGGAGAAAUGGGACUAGAAGUACAAGCAGGACAUCUCCAGCUCAGUUGACCUCUUCAUACCAUCACUGACACACUGGU
Molecule: long non-coding RNA, 481 nt
Filed under: Homo sapiens (human)
Lineage: Eukaryota; Metazoa; Chordata; Mammalia; Primates; Hominidae
Description: HSALNT0041189
Source: RNAcentral